This 497-nucleotide ribosomal RNA is filed under the name uncultured bacterium. RNAcentral describes it as "partial 16S ribosomal RNA". It matches the Rfam family "Bacterial small subunit ribosomal RNA", at positions 28 to 507 of the family's 1533-position model. The record is from RNAcentral.
GAUGAACGCUGGCGGCGUGCCUAAUACAUGCAAGUCGAGCGAACAGACGAGGAGCUUGCUCCUCUGACGUUAGCGGCGGACGGGUGAGUAACACGUGGAGAACCUACCUAUAAGACUGGGAUAACUUCGGGAAACCGGAGCUAAUACCGGAUAACAUGUUGAACCGCAUGGUUCAACAGUGAAAGACGGUCUUGCUGUCACUUAUAGAUGGAUCCGCGCCGCAUUAGCUAGUUGGUAAGGUAACGGCUUACCAAGGCAACGAUGCGUAGCCGACCUGAGAGGGUGAUCGGCCACACUGGAACUGAGACACGGUCCAGACUCCUACGGGAGGCAGCAGUAGGGAAUCUUGCGCAAUGGGCGAAAGCCUGACGGAGCAACGCCGCGUGAGUGAAGAAGGUCUUCGGAUCGUAAAACUCUGUCAUUAGGGAAGAACAAAUGUGUAAGUAACUAUGCACGUCUUGACGGUACCUAAUCAGAAAGCCACGGCUAACUACGUG